Molecule: ribosomal RNA, 441 nt
Filed under: Burkholderiaceae bacterium
Lineage: Bacteria; Pseudomonadati; Pseudomonadota; Betaproteobacteria; Burkholderiales; Burkholderiaceae
Description: bacterial SSU rRNA
Rfam family: Bacterial small subunit ribosomal RNA
Source: RNAcentral
UUACUCCCCUCCCGGGGCAGCAGUGGGGAAUUUUGGACAAUGGGGGCAACCCUGAUCCAGCAAUGCCGCGUGUGUGAAGAAGGCCUUCGGGUUGUAAAGCACUUUUGUCCGGAAAGAAAACUUCGUCCCUAAUAUGGAUGGAGGAUGACGGUACCGGAAGAAUAAGCACCGGCUAACUACGUGCCAGCAGCCGCGGUAAUACGUAGGGUGCGAGCGUUAAUCGGAAUUACUGGGCGUAAAGCGUGCGCAGGCGGUCUGUUAAGACCGAUGUGAAAUCCCCGGGCUUAACCUGGGAACUGCAUUGGUGACUGGCAGGCUAGAGUGUGGCAGAGGGAGGUAGAAUUCCACGUGUAGCAGUGAAAUGCGUAGAGAUGUGGAGGAAUACCGAUGGCGAAGGCAGCCUCCUGGGCCAACACUGACGCUCAUGCACGAUGCCUACCC